AUGGUGCCGUUGUGGAGAAACAGGUGCAGAGCCGACUGCGAAACAGUGACCAAGAAUGUUCCCCCUGAGCCAAGAGCUGAGCAGGGUUGAUCAGAGAGAGAGACAGAGACGCAGCUAUCUGGAGUGACAGCAGUCAUGUAACAGAAGCAAUUAACAUUUGGCAGUGUCCCCUGGAGUGGAACACCUCAUAAAUCUCCCGCUACGAAAGCUGAGACAACACGAGUCUCUUACUCCGUGCUGCUCCGUGGGAAAGAAAGUGGGCAUUGUUCAGCAUCCAGGCUCAGGUUGUCUAGCUCCAUGGAAAGGGGUCUUGCUGUGUGGAAGGAUCAGUGUCACCUGUUCGAAGGCAGAGGUAAAAUAUGGACCUUUGAAGUGAGAAGGGGGAGAGAGGUCAGAUGUCUUCCACUGGAGAGAGAGACUAGAUACCAGGGCUGGGGAGGUUAAUGAGACACUUACAUGAUGCAGUACUAUUCUGCAGUGAUGGCACUAGAUGCAGUUGCAUUACUGCAAGAUGCAGUGUUUGGUAGAAUGUUACUGUAGAAUGUUUACACAGGAAUAAAGGGAUGUUCUGAC
This is a long non-coding RNA of Chrysemys picta bellii (western painted turtle), 573 nucleotides long. RefSeq lists it as uncharacterized. NCBI's taxonomy places the organism in Eukaryota, Metazoa, Chordata, Testudines, Emydidae. The record is from RefSeq and is a predicted model, not a curated record.